AACGAACGCUGGCGGCAUGCCUAACACAUGCAAGUCGAACGAGACCUUCGGGUCUAGUGGCGCACGGGUGCGUAACGCGUGGGAACCUGCCCUUAGGUUCGGAAUAACUCCCCGAAAGGGGUGCUAAUACCGGAUAAUGUCUUCGGACCAAAGAUUUAUCGCCUUUGGAUGGGCCCGCGUUGGAUUAGCUAGUUGGUAGGGUAAAAGCCUACCAAGGCGACGAUCCAUAGCUGGUCUGGGAGGAUGAUCAGCCACACUGGGACUGAGACACGGCCCAGACUCCUACGGGAGGCAGCAGUGGGGAAUAUUGGACAAUGGGCGAAAGCCUGAUCCAGCAAUGCCGCGUGAGUGAUGAAGGCCUUAGGGUUGUAAAGCUCUUUUACCCGGGAUGAUAAUGACAGUACCGGGAGAAUAAGCACCGGCUAACUCCGUG
RNAcentral lists this ribosomal RNA (433 nucleotides) under uncultured bacterium. RNAcentral's name for it is "partial 16S ribosomal RNA". It matches the Rfam family "Bacterial small subunit ribosomal RNA", at positions 29 to 507 of the family's 1533-position model. The record is from RNAcentral.